AGACCCUGAAUCGUGUAGGAGAUGGAGCUAGCCUCCUCCCCGCCCCCAAAAUCUCGGCGACGUGCGGACACUUGGCCAUGCAGCGAUGUGCUGRACGGCCGAGCUACGGGUCCAGCGCCGUCAAGGUCGAGGGUCACAUCGAAUGCCGUGAUCGAAAGCGUGGAUAUUCCCCGSGGGGNGGAUGCAAUVUGGAUUACGAUCGGUGCCUUCGAACGACGUYUGCGUCGGAGCGAGAGGUCCCUGCUCGGUUGUAGUUCAGAGGGGGUCCGGGCCUCGUCCCCCGUUGAGAUUUCANGGCCCGAUCGCGUGCGCGGCGCUGUGCCAGGGAUCCGUCGUUUCGACGGCGGCAAGUCGGKACUGCCGCAACCCCCCGUUGCCUUUCCCAGGUGCGUUAACUCGUCGCUUGGAGCGUUCUAUGUUUAGGACGGGUGCACUCGCAUGAUUUGCGGGGCAGGGGCCCCGUCCGAUGACACGGCUCUCCCCAUGCGUUGACUCCCACCUUUGCGAGGCGAUGGGGCGGGGACACACCACAGCGUUCCUCGUCGCACCCAUUGGGUGCUCGGGGUUCGGGAUGUGUCAACACCCAACACACGGGUGCGCCAUCGCGCACCUUAGAAAUCCAAAGAAUGAAGCGCGGUCUAGCGCCUUGCGCGCUUGGGUCGCCGAAAGACAAAAAAAUAACAAAAUCACGACUCUCGGCAACGGAUAUCUCGGCUCUCGCCACGAUGAAGAAUGUAGCGAAAUGCGAUACUUAGUGUGAAUUGCAGAAUCCCGUGAAUCAUCAAGUCUUUGAACGCAAGUUGCGCCCGAGGCCUCGGCCAAGGGCACGUCUGCUUGGGCGUCGCACUACAAAAUUGCCCUCCCCAGCGAGGAGCGGAGAUGGCCGUCCGUGUCUGCAAGUGGCGCGGUCGGCUGAAAUGAGCACGAGGUCCGUCGGUCCGUCGCGACGAGCGGUGGCUCCCAGAGGCCGGCGUUGGUUUGCGCUGAUCGAACGAUUCCUCGCGAGGAACUUUAUUCUGGGUCCAGCGGCCCGCCGCAGUGCGGGCAUGCUGCAUCUCUACCGCGUCCCCAAGU
RNAcentral lists this ribosomal RNA (1074 nucleotides) under Cupressus torulosa. RNAcentral's name for it is "eukaryotic LSU rRNA". The stretch from base 691 to 844 matches the Rfam family "5.8S ribosomal RNA". Lineage: Eukaryota; Viridiplantae; Streptophyta; Pinopsida; Cupressales; Cupressaceae. The record is from RNAcentral.